Long non-coding RNA from Numida meleagris (helmeted guineafowl), 1177 nucleotides. RefSeq lists it as uncharacterized. NCBI's taxonomy places the organism in Eukaryota, Metazoa, Chordata, Aves, Galliformes, Numididae. The record is from RefSeq and is a predicted model, not a curated record. The transcript is spliced from 2 exons.
CUGGUCUAGAGGGAGCUGUCCCCGCUUAUAGAGGGGGGUUGGAACUGGAUGAUCUUAAAGGUUCCUUCCAACCCAAACCAUUCUAUGAUCCUAUGAUUCUACGAUCUUUGAAGGUCUCUUCCAUCUCAACUAUUCUAAUUCUAAAAUCGUUGUAGCAAAGUUAAAAACUGCUUGGCACAGAAGACAGCUGCAAUUCAGAGCUCCUUCCAGUGCACAGUGCAAGCAGCAGAGGGAAACUGCUUUAAGCAUUCUUUAAAAUCACAUUCCUACGUCCGAGUUGCUAACCUUUACACUUUACAGUUUUUCUUUCUGAAGCAAUGUUAAAAGCAUCUCAGCUUUAAUCAAAUUCUCAAAUCAUUGACCACUCUGAAAAACUGAAAGUGAAAUAAAAAUUAAGAUAUAACAAGAAUCAGAAGCACGGCGCAGUUUUUUUUGACAUUUCUGUCAGCUACAGCAAUGAAUGGUGACAAAGCAAGAUGAACAUUUGAGGAAGGAAAUCAAAUUGUAGCUCUACUCUUAUUUUAGGCUAUUUCACGUCUGAUUGUUUUCAAAAGCAGGAGGACGACGAGACUGGUUGUGUAACUCCACCCGAAGAACUGCCAGGAUCGUUGUUUAUGAGCGUGACCCAAACACCGGAACUGCUUCCUUACCUACAGAGUGUUGCAAUCCCGGAAAUACCAUGGGAUGUCUUCACCGACAUCUCCUUCCCAUCAGCACCACGUGCACUGAAAAGAACAUCCUGGGAGAUACAGGACUGAGAACUUAGGACGGCGGAUAAUUAUCCCAUGGGCUGCGAGUGUUUCCCUCCAUAGAAUCGUGGUCACCAAGGGUCAGCCAGGAAGAUGGAUGUACCUUAGUAAAAGUGAGUCAUUCACUGAACCUAGGCCAAACUCUGAAGCAAAUCUGGGCCAGUUUAUUGCCUUGGGAGGAAACCUGGUUUUUGCAUGAAUUAGAUGUGAAAAUAAGCAGAGCCUGACUGACAUCUUCUCUGAAUUCCAUCUGCAAGGGUAAAACCCAACGGGCAAGAGCCUGAGGCAUGACAAAAAUGAGGAGGGGAAAAUGAGGCUUCCUGUCUAUCCUCCAAGAACCAGAGACACAUGUUACUCAAACCCAGUGUAAACUGUUAAUUAUUCAGAUGCUAAUUAACCAAUGUUUAUAAAUGUCUUAUAUAUGUAAA